GGGCCUGUAGUGUAAUGGUAACAUUGCUACUUGCCAGUAUGGUUAAGCAGAAGAUCCUGAGUUCAAUUCUGCGCUAAUUCU
This is a non-coding RNA of Artomyces pyxidatus, 81 nucleotides long. The record is from the annotation of a GenBank genome assembly. Lineage: Eukaryota; Fungi; Basidiomycota; Agaricomycetes; Russulales; Auriscalpiaceae.